Small nucleolar RNA from Suncus etruscus (white-toothed pygmy shrew), 133 nucleotides. RefSeq annotates it as small nucleolar RNA SNORA9. NCBI's taxonomy places the organism in Eukaryota, Metazoa, Chordata, Mammalia, Eulipotyphla, Soricidae. The transcript has a single exon. The record is from RefSeq and is a predicted model, not a curated record.
CUGCAAGCCUCCAGCGUGCUUGGGUCUGGCGUGACCCUGUGCAUUUCUAUAGUGCUUGCAAUAACAUUAUGAAAUGGUUUGAGUCCUUGCCCUUGUUACAUCCAGAGCAAGUUUAUAGAAAUUUUAGACACUU